AACUUUGAUAUGAUAGUUUCGAAGAUGACAGGUCGGUGGACCAUACGGUUAUAUAUAUUUGCCUUUCAUUUAUCAGUUGGCUGUUUUAAAAGAGGUUGGUUUUUUUGAAAACAUCCUUUUAAUUUAAAAUACUAUUUGAAACAUAGAGGUUUUUUUAUUAUGAAAAUGCACUGAAGCACACGUUGGGAUACACGUAUUUACAUUUGUCGCGCCAUCUAUAGAAGUUAUAAAAAUAUCCACUUUGAAACGCCGUAUACGAUUUCUUUGAGCUCACCUCAGACACCUGCUGCGAUUGUAAAUUUCAAAAAAUGAAACUGCCUUUGGGUUUAUUUAGUAUCUGUCAACUUUAAAGAUUAUUGCAUUGACUUCAUUGUUUUUGUAUUGGCAGGGCCAUGUGAGCUUUUGUCAUCACUUGGCAUCCGUCAUCGUUAAAUUUUACAAAAAGCUUCUCUGAAACUACUGAGCCAAAUUUAACCAAACUUGGCAACAUGAAAUCAUCAUUGGGUAUAUAGUUUAAAAAUGUGUUUGAUGACCCCGGCUGUCUGCAUGGUCGAAAUUGUCUGUCGACUCCUUGAAAAUUAUUGCCCUUUGGUGACGAAUUUUACCAAUUAUUUGCGUAUUUACCUUAUAACUUUAAAAUUAUAAUAGAUAGCUAGAUAAACAUAUAUAUCAGGAUAAUUGACAUCAAAGAGGAAAUUGCUACCUUUUUCUUAAACAAACUAUAAAGUUAACCAUAUUAUAUUUUUACGACAUUUAACAUUUAUUACAUUUUAUUGAAGUGUUUUUGGAAGCAGUUACACCAGUGGUCCUGGGACAUGAUGUCAAUAUUUUCUGUAAUGCAUCGGGAUUUGAUGACUGUUGUAACAGCAACACCAGACGAUGGUCUCGAAUAGUAAAUGGUUCUGAAACUGUGCUGCUUUUUCGAGGAGUGUCUAACUAUCCAGAAAAAUUUACAGAAGACGUGCAAACUGAUGGGUUCAGUAUGAUUUUAAAGACUUUGAACAAAAGCGACAUAGGUGUUUUAACUAUACUUGUUCGUACGGCUUUUACUCAUCAAAUCAAAUACUGAAAGAAAGUAGCAAUUCUAACGGUAAGUGCUUUUGUUAAUCUGCCUUUAAUUGCAAAUUAUAAUUAUGAUAAGAUAGAAUACGCAGCAUAAUAAAUUGCACUUCAGUCUUGAUCCUAACAGUUUACAAUGUUAAUGUCAAUCAUUAUUUAAGGAACAUAUUUUUAGAAAUAAAAUAAAUAAAAGUAUUGUGGUUUGCUCGUAAAAAAUAUUAUAUCUUUGUAUAAUCUAUUUUUUCAGGUACCAGCACAGGAGUUUCGAAGAACGGGAUUGACAUUUCAUUUGUUUCUGCAAUUAUGGGUUUAAUAAUCACUAGUUUUUGUUGACUUUAAUCUGCAUGUUUGUUUUGUGUUCAUCCUAAGAACGAAACUCACUCACGAUGUAAUCAUGAACGAAGAGCUUACUGAAAUAUUGAAGCUGAUUAUCAUUCCUCGUUAAAUAUAUGCAAAAUCUUGUAUUCUACAUACAUAGCAUUAAUGGAUAAGAUAGUUUCAUACCCUUUCCGUGUACAAAGUUACUAUUAUAGAUGCUUGACCACUUUUUAGAAACUAAGCAAGGAAUAUAGCUCUGCAUAGAAAUAGUCUUUUGAGGAAAUGGAGAUAGAAAGAAACAACAUAAGAGUAAAAGUUCCACUGACACUGGCUGACCCAAUCGAUUGUAUAGUUUCUAGUCAUUUUAGUUAUUAUAUUUGUAUGUCUGUACUUAUUUUAACAAUGUAGACACAGCUGCAAUGAAUUGAAGUAAUUUCAGUUCUCAAGAUUGUAGUUCCUAUAUCUGUAUACAAUCUGCCAAGGUAGGCACAGCUACAAGCGGUUGUUGUGUAAAGUUGUUUAAGCAUUUAACUUAUUUUAAUUGUAGUUUCUAUGUUUUUAUAAUCUUCGCUAGCCUAGGGUAAGGAUGAACUCAUCCCCUCUCCAUAGGGAGAGGACUGGAUCUUAACCCUUUGCUAGCAAAGAGGUGUUUCUAAUCGUUUCAGUUUCUUGUCAUAUACGUUACGAUUUUAGCUUCUAAGUUUCUAACAGUUUAGUUUUUGAGAAUUUAGUCUCUGUAUCUGUUAUAAAUCUGCCAGUAAUGCCUUCAGUACAUGUAUGUUAUAAAUUUCUAGUCAUUAAAGUUAUGUUUGAA
Molecule: long non-coding RNA, 2191 nt
Filed under: Mytilus galloprovincialis (Mediterranean mussel)
Lineage: Eukaryota; Metazoa; Mollusca; Bivalvia; Mytilida; Mytilidae
Source: RNAcentral